GCGCCCAUAGCUCAACGGAUAGAGUGUUGCCCUGCGAAGGCAGAGAUGGUGGUUCAAUUCCACCUGGGCGCA
Molecule: transfer RNA, 72 nt
Filed under: Elusimicrobiota bacterium
Lineage: Bacteria; Pseudomonadati; Elusimicrobiota
Description: Elusimicrobia bacterium (groundwater metagenome) tRNA-Arg
Rfam family: tRNA
About the family: Transfer RNA (tRNA) molecules are approximately 80 nucleotides in length. Their secondary structure includes four short double-helical elements and three loops (D, anti-codon, and T loops).
Source: RNAcentral